Molecule: small nuclear RNA, 103 nt
Filed under: Myotis davidii
Lineage: Eukaryota; Metazoa; Chordata; Mammalia; Chiroptera; Vespertilionidae
Source: RNAcentral
AUGCUCACUUCGGCAGCACAUAAACUAAAACCGGAACAAUACAGAGAUUAGCAUGGCCCUGCGUAAGGAUGACACGCAAAUUCGUGAAGCAUUCCGUAUUUUU